UGGGGAAUUUUGGGCAAUGGGGGAAACCCUGACCCAGCAACGCCGCGUGAAGGAUGAAGUAUUUCGGUAUGUAAACUUCGAAAGAAUAGGAAGAAUAAAUGACGGUACUAUUUAUAAGGUCCGGCUAACUACGUGCCAGCAGCCGCGGUAAUACGUAGGGACCAAGCGUUGUUCGGAUUUACUGGGCGUAAAGGGCGCGUAGGCGGCAUGACAAGUCACUUGUGAAAUCUCUGGGCUUAACCCAGAACGGCCAAGUGAUACUGUCGCGCUAGAGUGCAGAAGGGGCAAUCGGAAUUCUUGGUGUAGCGGUGAAAUGCGUAGAUAUCAAGAGGAACACCUGAGGUGAAGACGGGUUGCUGGGCUGACACUGACGCUGAGGCGCGAAAGCCAGGGGAGCAAACGGGAUUAGAUACCCUUGUAGUCCCUGAGCGGGCUGGCAAGGCGCAU
Molecule: ribosomal RNA, 447 nt
Filed under: uncultured bacterium
Lineage: Bacteria
Description: bacterial SSU rRNA
Rfam family: Bacterial small subunit ribosomal RNA
Source: RNAcentral